Molecule: ribosomal RNA, 945 nt
Filed under: Russula anthracina
Lineage: Eukaryota; Fungi; Basidiomycota; Agaricomycetes; Russulales; Russulaceae
Also listed under: 1 other name
Description: partial large subunit ribosomal RNA
Rfam family: Eukaryotic large subunit ribosomal RNA
Source: RNAcentral
AUAUCAAUAAGCGGAGGAAAAGAAACUAACAAGGAUUCCCCUAGUAACUGCGAGUGAAGCGGGAAAAGCUCAAAUUUAAAAUCUGGUGGCCUCUGGUCAUCCGAGUUGUAAUUUAGAGAAGCGUCUUCCGCGCUGGACCAUGCACAAGUCUCCUGGAAUGGAGCGUCAUAGAGGGUGAGAAUCCCGUCUUUGGCAUGGAUGCACCAGGGCUUCUGUGAUGCGCUCUCAAAGAGUCGAGUUGUUUGGGAAUGCAGCUCAAAAUGGGUGGUGAACUCCAUCUAAAGCUAAAUAUUGGCGAGAGACCGAUAGCGAACAAGUACCGUGAGGGAAAGAUGAAAAGCACUUUGGAAAGAGAGUGAAACAGUACGUGAAAUUGUUGAAAGGGAAACGCUUGAAGUCAGUCGCGUCGACCGAGACUCAGCCUCGCCUUGGCUUGGUGUACUUCUCGGCUGACGGGUCAGUGUCAAUUUUGGGCCUCGGAUAAUGACAAGGGAAAGGUGGCACCUUUAUAGGUGUGUUAUAGUCUCCUGUCGGAUGCGAGGGUCGGGAUUGAGGAACUCAGCACGCGCCUUUUGGUGUCGGGGCUUCGGCCUACGCUACGUGCUUAGGAUGCUGGCAUAAUGGCUUUAAACGACCCGUCUUGAAACACGGACCAAGGAGUCUAACAUGCCCGCGAGUGUUCGGGUGGAAAACCCGUGCGCGUAAUGAAAGUAAAAGUUGGGACCUCUGUCGUGGAGAGCACCGACGCCCGGACCAGACCUUCUGUGACGGAUCUGCGGUAGAGCGUGCAUGUUGGGACCCGAAAGAUGGUGAACUAUGCCUGAAUAGGGUGAAGCCAGAGGAAACUCUGGUGGAGGCUCGUAGCGAUUCUGACGUGCAAAUCGAUCGUCAAAUUUGGGUAUAGGGGCGAAAGACUAAUCGAACCAUCUAGUAGCUGGUUCCUGC